GAUGAACGCUGGCGGCGUGCCUAACACAUGCCAGUCGAACGGAAAGGCUCCUGCUUGCAGGGGUACUCGAGUGGCGAACGGGUGAGUAACACGUGGGUGAUCUGCCCUGCACUUCGGGAUAAGCCUGGGAAACUGGGUCUAAUACCGGAUAGGACGAUGGUUUGGAUGCCAUUGUGGAAAGUUUUUUCGGUGUGGGAUGAGCUCGCGGCCUAUCAGCUUGUUGGUGGGGUAAUGGCCUACCAAGGCGUCGACGGGUAGCCGGCCUGAGAGGGUGUACGGCCACAUUGGGACUGAGAUACGGCCCAGACUCCUACGGGAGGCAGCAGUGGGGAAUAUUGCACAAUGGGCGCAAGCCUGAUGCAGCGACGCCGCGUGGGGGAUGACGGCCUUCGGGUUGUAAACUCCUUUCGCUAGGGACGAAGCGCAAGUGACGGUACCUGGAGAAGAAGCACCGGCUAACUACGUG
This 466-nucleotide ribosomal RNA is filed under the name uncultured bacterium. Its description in RNAcentral is "partial 16S ribosomal RNA". It matches the Rfam family "Bacterial small subunit ribosomal RNA", at positions 28 to 507 of the family's 1533-position model. The record is from RNAcentral.